GUGUCAGCAGCCGCGGUAAUACGGAGGAUGCGAGCGUUAUCCGGAUUUAUUGGGUUUAAAGGGUGCGUAGGCGGAUCAAUAAGUCAGUGGUGAAAACCUGCAGCUUAACUGUAGAAUUGCCGUUGAUACUGUUGGUCUUGAGUAUGGUCAAGGUAGGCGGAAUGUGUAAUGUAGCGGUGAAAUGCUUAGAUAUUACACAGAACACCGAUUGCGAAGGCAGCUUGCUGGGCCAUUACUGACGCUGAGGCACGAAAGCGUGGGGAUCGAACAGGAUUAGAAACCCGAGUAGUCC
Molecule: ribosomal RNA, 292 nt
Filed under: uncultured bacterium
Lineage: Bacteria
Description: partial 16S ribosomal RNA
Rfam family: Bacterial small subunit ribosomal RNA
Source: RNAcentral